This 497-nucleotide ribosomal RNA is filed under the name uncultured bacterium. RNAcentral describes it as "partial 16S ribosomal RNA". It matches the Rfam family "Bacterial small subunit ribosomal RNA", at positions 28 to 507 of the family's 1533-position model. The record is from RNAcentral.
GAUGAACGCUGGCGGCGUGCCUAAUACAUGCAAGUCGAGCGAACGGACGAGAAGCUUGCUUCUCUGAUGUUAGCGGCGGACGGGUGAGUAACACGUGUAUAACCUACCUAUAAGACUGGGAUAACUUCGGGAAACCGGCGCUAAUACCGGAUAAUAUUUUGAACCGCAUGGUUCAAAAGUGAAAGACGGUCUUGCUGUCACUUAUAGAUGGAUCCGCGCUGCAUUAGCUAGUUGGUAAGGUAACGGCUUACCAAGGCAACGAUGCAUAGCCGACCUGAGAGGGUGAUCGGCCACAUUGGAACUGAGACACGGUCCAGACUCCUACGGGAGGCAGCAGUAGGGAAUCUUCCGCAAUGGGCGAAAGCCUGACGGAGCAACGCCGCGUGAGUGAUGAAGGUCUUCGGAUCGUAAAACUCUGUUAUUAGGGAAGAACAUAUGUGUAAGUAACUGUGCACAUCUUGACGGUACCUAAUCAGAAAGCCACGGCUAACUACGUG